AAGUGACGGGGCCCGGCACAAGCGGUGGAGCAUGUGGUUUAAUUCGAUGAUACGCGAGGAACCUUACCUGGGCUCAAAUGUAUGUUGACGUAUUCUAGAAGGGAAUACUUUCUUCGGACAAUAUACAAGGUGCUGCAUGGUUGUCGUCAGCUCGUGCCGUGAGGUGUCGGGUUAAGUCCCAUAACGAGCGCAACCCCUAUCAUUAGUUGCCAUCAGGUCAAGCUGGGGACUCUAAUGAAACUGCCUACGCAAGUAGUGAGGAAGGCGGGGAUGACGUCAAAUCAGCACGGCCCUUACGUCCAGGGCUACACACGUGCUACAAUGGCCGAUACAGAGGGCAGCUACCUGGUGACAGGAUGCAAAUCUCCAAAGUCGGUCUCAGUUCGGAUCGGAGUCUGCAACCCGACUCCGUGAAGUUGGAUUCGCUAGUAAUCGCGCAUCAGCCAUGGCGCGGUGAAUACGUUCCCGGGCCUU
RNAcentral lists this ribosomal RNA (474 nucleotides) under uncultured Sphingobacteriales bacterium. Its description in RNAcentral is "bacterial SSU rRNA". It matches the Rfam family "Bacterial small subunit ribosomal RNA", at positions 908 to 1382 of the family's 1533-position model. Lineage: Bacteria; Pseudomonadati; Bacteroidota; Sphingobacteriia; Sphingobacteriales. The record is from RNAcentral.